Mus musculus (house mouse) is the source of this 933-nucleotide long non-coding RNA. RefSeq annotates it as predicted gene, 32079. The transcript has 4 exons. NCBI's taxonomy places the organism in Eukaryota, Metazoa, Chordata, Mammalia, Rodentia, Muridae. The record is from RefSeq and is a predicted model, not a curated record.
AGGCAGAAGCAGGAGGAGCAGAAGUUCAAGGCCAUCCUUGGCUACAUAGUGAGUCUAAGGCCAGACUGGGACACCUGAGACCCUAUUAAAAAGGGUUGGGGGACCAGGAUGGUCUACCAUUAGCACGCAGAUGUGGCAGUGGGAGACAUUCUAGACCAGCAGCAGGCAGGGCAGGGCCCCAUACCUGUUCAACCUUGUCCUUUGAGAAACCAGGAAAUACAAGUUCACUGUUACCUGUGGCUCCGGUAAAAGACUGAGUGUGUGACUGAAUUAUGAACUGGACCUGUAGUACACAGCAGGGAGAAUCUCGGGGAAGCCCUUGUCAAGCCGCAGAGCCAGAGAGGAGGAAGCUGGUCGGAAGGAGUGGGGCUCUGGAUGUCAUGUGCAAACCACCAGGAGAGCUUUUCAAUUGCCUCUCACCAAACCCUCAUUACUGUUGGCAGAAAGGACCCUGGACCAGCUGGAAGAAUGGCAGCUGGAAGAAUGGCAGCUGGAAGAAUGGCAGCGGGAAGAAUGGCAGAUGUCACACUGUGGCCAAGGCUAACCUGGAAGUCACUCUGGGGAGCUUUUGGAAUUCAUGGCAAUCCUUCUGCAUCAGCCUCCUGAAUGCUGGGCCCAAGUCACCACACACUGUUUAAAUAUUGUUAUUAUUUGCCUUGAUGUAAUUUUCUCUGGCAAAUAUAGAACCUCCCAGAAGCAAGAGAGUGGAAGACUGUCUAACCGCUGAAGCUACUGUGUGUGGGCAUCCCUGAGUGGCCUCCUCAGCACCCACUUUUUUCUUCCCUUUUGGGGGAAGAUGUGUGGGCAGGAGCCACCCAUCUCCGUGGGUGGCUUACACAGUCACUGCAGUGACUGGUUUAGGAAGCAUGAUAGAGGUCAGGCUAGAAGACUCCUCAAGUCCAAACUUGUAUUUUUUUUUUAAGCCAAUAGGUU